CGGCCCCACCCCCACCGCUGUGCGGAGGACACCCCUCCAACCGCGGAUGCUCAGGGACGGGGGGGGGGGCCUGUGGACACUGGGCUGGCCGGGUCAAUGUCCAGCGGAGAGGGUGACCCAAGCCCAUGCCACCCAGCACUGGUGGCCAUGCCAAGCAACCUGCCCUGGACAGAUGAGCUGGCAGUGCCCCAGCCCUCCCCAGUGAGGCCCCGAAGGGGCCCUGUCACCCUGACACAUCGUGCCCGGUCAGCUCAGAGCCUCAGCAGGCCCUGCUUGCCGGCCUGAGCAGAAGCUGGCAGCCAGGCCCCGAGAUCGGGGCCGCACGCCAGGAACGGGGAACCCGCCCCCCACCAGGGAGGCUUCCAACGCCAGCCUGGUAGCGCUCUGACCCUCUGGCUGUUGCCCAAGAGUCUUACGGAAAAUACCCUCUCCUUUUCCAAGCCAGGAUCCCUGCCCCUCCAGCAUGGACACCCCCAGCCCUGGCCAACAAGGAGUGUCCUUCUGAAGCUCCCUGUUCACCCUCAAGAAAGCAAAGAAUUGCAGAGUCGUCUCCAGGAGGCUGGGGAGGCAGGGUGCAAGAAGCACUCGGCCUCUUGCCAGGGGCCGUGGGCCUCACGCCCACACAGGGGCUGGGCACCACAAGCAAGCCCCAGCACGUGCCCACAGCCCUUAGGUGCUCACAGGGCCAGGCGCACCCAGGCCCGGCAACACGGCAGCUCCCCACCAUGGCGGUGGCGGCCCAGCUGAGACACACGACAGGGCAGGUGGCGGAACGGCCCUUUAUUGAGAGUCACAGAAUGAAACUCCAGCAGCUUGGCCCGCACCUCCUCGUCCCCGCACACGUCUGAGGAGGAGUGGCCAGAGGGUCACAGGCGCCCGCCCGCCCGCCCGCCCGUGCCCUACACCGGGAGGAUGCGGCCCCAGGCUCACCGAGAGGCGUCUCUUCCAUCAGGGAUUUGCCGUUCAGGUCAUUCCGGGCAGCCGCCUCCAGAAGGGCAACGCUUGGGGGGAAGAGGACCCGCUUCUGUGGCCGGCCGUCGGCCGCCUCCUUCUGUGACUGCGUCCGCUGGCCCCUCCUGCCAUGGGCCUCCUUCUCGGCCUGGGCCCACAUCUUCACCUGCUGGGCACGUCGCUUCUGGGCGUGCUUCAGCCGCUCCUGUGUGCUCAUCCUGCCCACCGUGGGCAUCUCUGCCAGCAGCUCCAGGUGCUCGGCCAUGGCGGGGGCUGCCUGCCAGGGGGGCUGCUGGGGGCACCGGACGGGGAAGCGCGGGGGCCAGGCUGGGCCUGCGAGGCGGGGCAGCUGGCUGGACUGGCGCCCUGGGGGGCAUCCCCUCUCUAAGGCUCAGUGUCCUCUGCCCCUGGCAAGGCUGGGUCAGGAGGCCCCCCGCUGUGACCAGACCCGGGCAGCCAUGAGGGGCCCGGGCCCCAGGCAGAAAGGGCAGCAAGGGAGGGCGCCUGCAGCCGGCCUCCCAGGGCCCUGGCACCUCGGCUGCUCGAUGGACAAGGCCUCCCUCCCUCGUCCUGGACCCGGCCAGCCUCAGUUCAGGGUCUGAAGCUAAUGACCCAGAUAACGGAGUUGCAGCUCGCUGGCGCCUUGCCGAGGGGAAGAGGAGGCCAGGGCAAGGGGCAGAGGCCCCGGGAGCCCUAAAAGCCCCUCUCACCUAACAGGCCUUAGGGGACCAGGUGGGGUCUAGGAGCAGCCAUGGCGGGGGCCUUCCCUCCCCACACCCCCAGCCUUCUGGGGUCGGUGCUAACGAGGAGGUGUGGCCACAGGGGGCCCGGGCGGGCGUGUGUCCAGAGUCCCAGGGUCCGGCCCCCAGCGCCUGGGGCCGAGGCUCUCUAAGCGGCCAGGGCACCGAGGGUACAGCGGGCCUGGCAACUGUGUCUUCAGGAAGGCGUCCCCUUCGCAGGAGCCGGCGGCCCAGCUGUGCACGGCAGGCGCUCCCGCUGGCCUGAGAGGAGGAAGCAGGAAGCGCGUCAAGGCCAGCCGGCGGCGACGGCUCCACCCGGAGCCCCGCCCUGUGUGAGGGCGAGCCCUGCCCGGGAGAUCCUGGCGGAGGGGAGGGGGCUGGCAGUGCCCGCAGUCUGGCCCACACGCUCGCCCGCCGUUUCCAGCAAGGGCCUGCAGGCUGUGCGGCUGAGAGAGGGGCGCAGGGCUGGCACUGCCAGCUCGCUGCGGCCUUCCUGAGAGGCGGCCCCUCGAGGCCUCCGGCUCAGCCCUUGCCCCGCAGCGCCCCUGACCUGUGCGCCCUGGGCCGGGCCGGCUGGCCAAGGUCACCUUCUCCUUGGGCUCUCCCGGACUCCCCGAGCGCUGUGCGGCCUAGGCCUUCCCGAGAGCAGGCCCUGCCGCCUGGACACCGGGCCGCCCUGCUGCUCGGCCACAGCUGCGGAGGGCGGAGGGCCUGGCCUGGCCUGCCCCGCACCCCAGCUCCUCAACACCCGAGUCUGGGCCUCUUCCUCGCCGGGCUUUCUGUUUCUAGCUCAGGCCACUCGGUGCUUUGCUUCCCUCUGCCAUCCUGGGCGGCGGUCCAAGCCCUGGUUGUGUGAACGCAGGCGCAGGUGGCCUGCCUGACAGACAGGUGGGCCGGCAGCUGGGCUGGGGCACAGCCCCACAGUCCCCACCAUGGCCCGUCCUGCGCAGCACGCCUGGUGUGCUCACUAGGCAUGGUCCCAGGACACUCCUCGGGAGGCCAUGGCCAUGCUCCACCUAGAAGGUACCCACCGGCAGCUCAGCCUGCCCACCGGGAGUCCCCGUUCCCACUCGGCCAGACCUUGUGGCCAUCUAGAGACUGACCCAGGCUUCUUCUGGCCAGACUUGUACUCAGGGAUCUCAGUGAGUGCCCCCUUCUUUCUGGAGGGGGACUGUCCUGGGCCAGAUCAAGUGAGGUCAGGUCCCUCCUGCCCCGGGACCCCCAGUGUGUUGGGAGCCUCGCAUUACAGCUCUGCCUCGCCCUGGACUUUGCUGGUACUCCAGCUAUCCGCUCUGCGAGCCAGGCCUCAGAGGCUACCAGGGGACAGGAAAGAGCCCUCCAGGCGGACAGCCCCCAGCUGGCCACCUCUGCAGAUGAGCUGCCUAGCCCCCCUGCCUGGAUCCCCCAGGUCCCACCUCUGCCCUGACCGAGACAGGCAGGAGGCCUGCAGGCACCGUGGCAACUCCCCACCCAUUAGGCUGGGGGUGGAUCCCAGACCAAACCCAAGGCGUGGCAGGGCUUUCACUGGUCUGUAAGACUCUCCCUCCCUGCUGGCCACUCACAGGCAGCCUCAGGUUCCCCUGGAGGGAGCUGGGACUCCCUGCAGCCCACACAUGGGAUCUUCACCUGUCUGGGGUAGGUCUCUGAAGAGCCUGCCCCAAGAGACGCGGGAAGGAGGAGCAACGCACUCUGCCCAGGGCCACCCCCGACCCCGUCACAGAGGAUGCUGCCCCCACCUGUCCACGAGGGAGGAGGUCCCCUGCAGGCCAAGGCUCCACAGCAGAGCGGGCUCACAGGGCCUCAGUGACCAUCUUCUCCAAGUGGGCGCCAACAUCAGAGCCACAGCCCGAUUUUGUUAAGUUUGACAAGAUUUAGGAGAUGUCAUCUACCCCAUCAUUUUAUGGAAGAAAAGAGAUUCUGACGCCCACGUCCUACAGAAAUUCCCCUAGAGGGGACUUCCCUGAUGGCCCAGUGGGUAGGACUGCAUGGUUCCACUGCACGGGUUCGAUUCCCUCAUCGGGGAGCUAAGACCCCUGCAUGCGGGGGAGCAGGGUAGGGGACAGAAAACAACCUAAAAUAGAGUAACCACCAGCUUUUCAAAUUGAA
This is a long non-coding RNA of Lagenorhynchus albirostris (white-beaked dolphin), 3797 nucleotides long. RefSeq lists it as uncharacterized. The transcript is spliced from 3 exons. The record is from RefSeq and is a predicted model, not a curated record. Lineage: Eukaryota; Metazoa; Chordata; Mammalia; Artiodactyla; Delphinidae.